Molecule: long non-coding RNA, 502 nt
Organism: Drosophila guanche
Lineage: Eukaryota; Metazoa; Arthropoda; Insecta; Diptera; Drosophilidae
Exons: 2
Source: RefSeq, a predicted model, not a curated record
GGUGCCCUCGUACCUCUUACCAGCUCCAUUGCGUCGUCUCAACACCGAUCUCCUUACGUUGUUCUCGUUCGUUGACCGACGGAUCGGGCUUACGUCAUUUGGUUGGCUUACGAGCUGCCACUUUGGGGGUUUGUUGGGGCAAUGCCUGGACCAUUUGCCGCAUUCCGAGUCGUGCCUAAUAACCAGCCAAGUCGUCUGCGCGCAUCGUUGCGAAUAAAAAGAAAAAUUACACAGAAAAUCGCGUCUCGUCUCAAAUCGAUUUCAUGUAUCUCUAAACCAGAGAGAGAAGAAACCCAUUUAGAGUACUCCUACUUGUGAUUUAAGUGUGUGUUUAUCAAGUGAAGUGAGUCUCUGAAGCUCCACAAAUAUAAUCAAUUACAGUGCAGUGAGUAAAAGAAACAUAAAAUAAAACUAGAGAAUCAUAAAGAAAACCAGAAAGUCUCCAUCUCAAACCGGGCAACAAAUUUUGUUUUGCGGAGAAAUGAGUAACAACAAAUUAUUG